GAUGAACGCUAGCGGGAGGCCUAACACAUGCAAGCCGAGCGGUAUUGUUUCUUCGGAAGUGAGAGAGCGGCGUACGGGUGCGUAACACGUGUGCAACCUGCCUUUAUCUGGGGGAUAGCCUUUCGAAAGGAAGAUUAAUACUCCAUAAUAUAUUGAACGGCAUCGUUUAAUAUUGAAAGCUCCGGCGGAUAGAGAUGGGCACGCGCAAGAUUAGCUAGUUGGUGAGGUAACGGCUCACCAAGGCGAUGAUCUUUAGGGGGCCUGGGAGGGUGAUCCCCCACACUGGUACUGAGACACGGACCAGACUCCUACGGGAGGCAGCAGUGAGGAAUAUUGGUCAAUGGGUGCAAGCCUGAACCAGCCAUCCCGCGUGAAGGACGACUGCCCUAUGGGUUGUAAACUUCUUUUGUAUAGGGAUAAACCUACCCUCGAGAGGGUAGCUGAAGGUACUAUACGAAUAAGCACCGGCUAACUCCGUG
Molecule: ribosomal RNA, 479 nt
Filed under: uncultured bacterium
Lineage: Bacteria
Description: partial 16S ribosomal RNA
Rfam family: Bacterial small subunit ribosomal RNA
Source: RNAcentral